CCUACGGGAGGCAGCAGUGAGGAAUAUUGGUCAAUGGGCGCGAGCCUGAACCAGCCAAGUAGCGUGAAGGAUGACUGCCCUACGGGUUGUAAACUUCUUUUAUAAAGGAAUAAAGUGAGGCACGCGUGCCUUUUUGUAUGUACUUUAUGAAUAAGGAUCGGCUAACUCCGUGCCAGCAGCCGCGGUAAUACGGAGGAUCCGAGCGUUAUCCGGAUUUAUUGGGUUUAAAGGGAGCGUAGAUGGGUUGUUAAGUCAGUUGUGAAAGUCUGCGGCUCAACCGUAAGAGUGCAAUUGAUACUGGCAGCCUUGAGUACAGUUGAGGUAGGCGGAAUUCGUGGUGUAGCGGUGAAAUGCAUAGAUAUCACGAAGAACUCCGAUUGCGAAGGCAGCUUACUAAACUGCCACUGACGUUGAUGCUCGAAAGUGUGGGUAUCAAACAGGAUUAGAUACCCGGGUAGUC
RNAcentral lists this ribosomal RNA (460 nucleotides) under uncultured bacterium. RNAcentral describes it as "partial 16S ribosomal RNA". It matches the Rfam family "Bacterial small subunit ribosomal RNA", at positions 338 to 795 of the family's 1533-position model. The record is from RNAcentral.